GCGUCAAAGGAUUUUAUAAUAUGUUUGCCAUGAACUGCCAAAACGUUAUGAACUUACAUUCCAUAAAUGCCAACAGCUACUGCAAAACCAAUUGGUAUCGGGGCAACGGGUACUUUAUUUUUGCUGUCAACAGCCGUCAUUUGGACAGUAAGGACGAGUAAUGAUGUGGCUAAUAUUUCUGCCAGUAAUGCACUUCCAACUUUCACGUCCUUUCCCAGACCAUGUGCGCCUCCAUUAAUCAUCUCGUAAACCGCUUUGGUGAGUACAAUC
This is a non-coding RNA of Paramuricea clavata, 270 nucleotides long. Lineage: Eukaryota; Metazoa; Cnidaria; Anthozoa; Malacalcyonacea; Plexauridae. The record is from the annotation of a GenBank genome assembly.